CGGGGUGCACCAGGCGCGAAAACUCUACAAUGCAGGCAACUGCGAUAGGGGAACAUCGAGUGAUCCUCAUAUUGGGGGUCUGUCCCACCGUCUAAAAAACGGUGGUUAGCAAGGGCCGGGCAAGACCGGUGCCAGCCGCCGCGGUAAUACCGGCGGCUCGAGUGGUGGCCGAUAUUAUUGAGUCUAAAGGGUCCGUAGCCGGCUUUGCAAGUCUCUCGGGAAAUCCAGCGGCUUAACCGUUGGUCGUCCGGGGGGUACUACAUUGCUUGGGACUGGGAGAGGUAGGAGGUACUCAGGGGGUAGGAGUGAAAUCCUGUAAUCCUCUGGGGACCACCGGUGGCGAAGGCGUCCCACCAGAACAGGUCCGACGGUGAGGGACGAAAGCUAGGGGCACGAACCGGAUUAGAUACCCGGGUAGUCCUAGCCGUAAACGAUGCUCGCUAGGUGUCACAACAGUCGUGAACUGUUGUGGUGCCGUAGGGAAGCCGUGAAGCGAGCCACUUGGGAAGUACGACCGCAAGGUUGAAACUUAAAGGAAUUGGCGGGGGAGCAC
RNAcentral lists this ribosomal RNA (553 nucleotides) under uncultured archaeon. RNAcentral's name for it is "bacterial SSU rRNA". It matches the Rfam family "Archaeal small subunit ribosomal RNA", at positions 326 to 879 of the family's 1478-position model. The record is from RNAcentral.